UUGACCUCGGAUCAGGUAGGGAUACCCGCUGAACUUAAGCAUAUCAAUAAGCGGAGGAAAAGAAACCAACCGGGAUUGCCUCAGUAACGGCGAGUGAAGCGGCAAGAGCUCAAAUUUGAAAGCUGGCUCCUUCGGAGUCCGCAUUGUAAUUUGCAGAGGAUGCUUUGGGUGCGGCCCCCGUCUAAGUGCCCUGGAACGGGCCGUCAGAGAGGGUGAGAAUCCCGUCUUGGGCGGGGUGUCCGUGCCCGUGUAAAGCUCCUUCGACGAGUCGAGUUGUUUGGGAAUGCAGCUCUAAAUGGGUGGUAAAUUUCAUCUAAAGCUAAAUACUGGCCGGAGACCGAUAGCGCACAAGUAGAGUGAUCGAAAGAUGAAAAGCACUUUGAAAAGAGAGUUAAACAGCACGUGAAAUUGUUGAAAGGGAAGCGCUUGCGACCAGACUCGCCCGCGGGGUUCAGCCGGCAUUCGUGCCGGUGUACUUCCCCGUGGGCGGGCCAGCGUCGGUUUGGGCGGCCGGUCAAAGGCCCCUGGAAUGUAGUGCCCUCCGGGGCACCUUAUAGCCAGGGGUGCAAUGCGGCCAGCCUGGACCGAGGAACGCGCUUCGGCACGGACGCUGGCAUAAUG
RNAcentral lists this ribosomal RNA (621 nucleotides) under Aspergillus phoenicis. Its description in RNAcentral is "partial 28S ribosomal RNA". It matches the Rfam family "Eukaryotic large subunit ribosomal RNA", at positions 1 to 636 of the family's 3401-position model. Lineage: Eukaryota; Fungi; Ascomycota; Eurotiomycetes; Eurotiales; Aspergillaceae. The record is from RNAcentral. RNAcentral also lists the same sequence under 1 other name.